UGCCCGUUUAGACAAGGUGAUGC
Molecule: non-coding RNA, 23 nt
Filed under: Arabidopsis thaliana (thale cress)
Lineage: Eukaryota; Viridiplantae; Streptophyta; Magnoliopsida; Brassicales; Brassicaceae
Source: RNAcentral